RNAcentral lists this ribosomal RNA (492 nucleotides) under uncultured bacterium. RNAcentral describes it as "partial 16S ribosomal RNA". It matches the Rfam family "Bacterial small subunit ribosomal RNA", at positions 29 to 507 of the family's 1533-position model. The record is from RNAcentral.
AGUGAACGCUGGCGGUAUGCCUAACACAUGCAAGUCGAACGGCAGCACAGUAAGCGCUUGCUCUUACUGUUGGCGAGUGGCGGACGGGUGAGGAAUACAUCGGAAUCUACUUUUUCGUGGGGGAUAACGUAGGGCCACUUACGCUAAUACCGCAUACGACCUACGGGUGAAAGCAGGGGAUCUUCGGACCUUGCGCGAUUGUAUGAGCCGAUGUCGGAUUAGCUAGUUGGCGGGGUAAAGGCCCACCAAGGCGACGAUCCGUAGCUGGUCUGAGAGGAUGAUCGGCCACACUGGAACUGAGACACGGUCCAGACUCCUACGGGAGGCAGCAGUGGGGAAUAUUGGGCAAUGGGCGAAAGCCUGAUGCAGCCAUACCGCGUGAGUGAAGAAGGCCUUCGGGUUGUAAAGCCCUUUUGUUGGGGAAGAAAAGAAGUAGGAGAAAACGCCGAUGUUCUGACGGUACCCAAAGAAAAAGCAACGGCUAACUUCGUG